AGUGAACGCUGGCGGUAGGCCUAACACAUGCAAGUCGAACGGCAGCACAGUAAGAGCUUGCUCUUACGGGUGGCGAGUGGCGGACGGGUGAGGAAUACAUCGGAAUCUACUUUUUCGUGGGGGAUAACGUAGGGAAACUUACGCUAAUACCGCAUACGACCUACGGGUGAAAGCAGGGGAUCUUCGGACCUUGCGCGAUUGAAUGAGCCGAUGUCGGAUUAGCUAGUUGGCGGGGUAAAGGCCCACCAAGGCGACGAUCCGUAGCUGGUCUGGGAGGAUGAUCAGCCACACUGGAACUGAGACACGGUCCAGACUCCUACGGGAGGCAGCAGUGGGGAAUAUUGGACAAUGGGCGCAGGCCUGAUCCAGCCAUACCGCGUGGGUGAAGAAGGCCUUCGGGUUGUAAAGCCCUUUUGUUGGGAAAGAAAAGCAGCAGGUUAACACCCCGCUGUUCUGACGGUACCCAAAGAAUAAGCACCGGCUAACUUCGUG
Molecule: ribosomal RNA, 492 nt
Filed under: uncultured bacterium
Lineage: Bacteria
Description: partial 16S ribosomal RNA
Rfam family: Bacterial small subunit ribosomal RNA
Source: RNAcentral